GGCUCAAUGGUAGAGUGCUUGACUACGAAUCAAGAGGUUGCAGGUUCGAGCGUGAGUUGCCCA
Molecule: transfer RNA, 63 nt
Filed under: Pseudocercospora pini-densiflorae CBS 125139
Lineage: Eukaryota; Fungi; Ascomycota; Dothideomycetes; Mycosphaerellales; Mycosphaerellaceae
Description: tRNA-Arg (ACG) (tRNA-Arg-ACG-2-1)
Source: RNAcentral